This 506-nucleotide ribosomal RNA is filed under the name uncultured bacterium. RNAcentral's name for it is "partial 16S ribosomal RNA". It matches the Rfam family "Bacterial small subunit ribosomal RNA", at positions 29 to 523 of the family's 1533-position model. The record is from RNAcentral.
AGUGAACGCUGGCGGUAGGCCUAACACAUGCAAGUCGAACGGCAGCACAGGAGAGCUUGCUCUCUGGGUGGCGAGUGGCGGACGGGUGAGGAAUACAUCGGAAUCUACUUUUUCGUGGGGGAUAACGUAGGGAAACUUACGCUAAUACCGCAUACGACCUACGGGUGAAAGCAGGGGACCUUCGGGCCUUGCGCGAUUGAAUGAGCCGAUGUCGGAUUAGCUAGUUGGCGGGGUAAAGGCCCACCAAGGCGACGAUCCGUAGCUGGUCUGAGGGGAUGAUCAGCCACACUGGAACUGAGACACGGUCCAGACUCCUACGGGAGGCAGCAGUGGGGAAUAUUGGACAAUGGGCGCAAGCCUGAUCCAGCCAUACCGCGUGGGUGAAGAAGGCCUUCGGGUUGUAAAGCCCUUUUGUUGGGAAAGAAAUCCAUCUGGUUAAUACCCGGGUGGGAUGACGGUACCCAAAGAAUAAGCACCGGCUAACUUCGUGCCAGCCGCCGCCGUAA